RNAcentral lists this ribosomal RNA (468 nucleotides) under uncultured bacterium. RNAcentral's name for it is "partial 16S ribosomal RNA". It matches the Rfam family "Bacterial small subunit ribosomal RNA", at positions 28 to 507 of the family's 1533-position model. The record is from RNAcentral.
GACGAACGCUGGCGGCGUGCUUAACACAUGCAAGUCGAACGGAAAGGCCCUGCUUUUGUGGGGUGCUCGAGUGGCGAACGGGUGAGUAACACGUGAGUAACCUGACCUUGACUUUGGGAUAACUUCAGGAAACUGGGGUUAAUCCAGGAUAGGAGCCCCUGUACCAUGGUGGGGGUUGGAACGUUUGGGCGGUUGUGGAUGGACUCGCGGCUUAUCGGCUUGUUGGUGGGGUAGUGGCUUACCAAGGCAUUGAAGGGUAGCCGGCCUGUGAGGGUGACCGGCCACAUGGCGACUAAGGGACGCCCCAGACUCCUACGGGAGGCAGCAGUGGGAAAUAUUGCACAGUGGGCGGAAGCCUGAUGCAGCAACGCCGCGUGCGGGAUGACGGCCUUCGGGUUGUAAACCGCUGUCGCCUGUGACGAAGCGUGAGUGACGGUAAUGGGUAAAGAAGCACCGGCUAACUACGUG